RNAcentral lists this unclassified non-coding RNA (161 nucleotides) under soil metagenome. RNAcentral describes it as "partial internal transcribed spacer 1". The record is from RNAcentral.
AAGAGACGUUGCCCUUCGGGGUAUACCUCCCACCCUUUGUUUAUUAUACCUUUGUUGCUUCGGCGGGCCCGUCCUCGGACCACCGGCUUCUGCUGGUCAGUGCCCGCCAGAGGACCUAAAACUCUGUUUGUUAAUAUUGUCUGAGUACUAUAUAAUAGUUA